This is a non-coding RNA of Salmo salar (Atlantic salmon), 186 nucleotides long. NCBI's taxonomy places the organism in Eukaryota, Metazoa, Chordata, Actinopteri, Salmoniformes, Salmonidae. The record is from RefSeq and is a predicted model, not a curated record.
CAUGGAAAUAGUGUUUCCACAGAGAUUCCCUGGCAGGUCUAAUGGUGGCCAGAUCAAUGGACCACAGUCCUAUCCCUCUCAAGCCUUCAUCAAAUAUUCCCUACCUAAGGCCCCAGGAAGAAAGAGUGUAGAAAUUUACUACCCCUAUGAGUUUGUGCAGCAAAAGCUGUUCCCAUAUGAAUAUCA